Pseudoliparis swirei is the source of this 1234-nucleotide long non-coding RNA. RefSeq lists it as uncharacterized. Lineage: Eukaryota; Metazoa; Chordata; Actinopteri; Perciformes; Liparidae. The transcript is spliced from 7 exons. The record is from RefSeq and is a predicted model, not a curated record.
ACCAACCGUCGCCCCUCUCAGCCGGCCUUAAAAACAUACUAAGUGUGGAAAUAUAUAUAUAUAUAGCCUACCAUGUGUCUAUGUGUGUUUGUGUUAACCUAUAGGUAUUAUUACAACUUUACCAUAUAGUAUUUCAUUUGUAUUCAUACACUGCAAUGGAAAGAGUUAAUUGAAUAUACCAGCCUAUAAAUACAACUAAAUACAGACAUUUCUUUAGUUUCUUUCAAAACAAGUCAUCUUUUUCUAUAUUUGUUAUGUUACCACGCUAAAACCAUUGCUAUUGGCUGUCUCCCCACGUUGCUUUGAACAUGAUUGGAUAAUCUGCCUGUCACUCAGAGAACUGGCCAAUGAGAAAUGUCCGCGCCGUGGAUUUGAAAUUACGUCUGUUUGAGCGGGAAGCCGCAGCGGGGCAGGCGCUACUCGGCAGGUCUGCUAGUGUCUGCUGUUGACCUACCUGCAUUAUUACCUGAAGUAUUUUACAUAUGCCUGCGAUUUUAACUUGUGGGAUGUCAACGGAGAAAGAAAGACUGGGACACAGAGGAAGGAUCAUACGGGAUGUGGUGACCAGCAAAGUUACGUGAAUUGAUAUCCUGCAAAAUUAUUGAAGAUAUCAGCACUGGACCCUGAGCAGUGCAUGGCCUGCAAGAUCAUGAGAAGGCUGAAGAACCAGGAGUGACAAGAUACCACUGGAUGGUGGGGCACAUAAUUCCACUCAAGGACAGUGAUCUGAAAAUGUCUGUUUACCAACGGUCCCCAUCCAACCUGACAGAGCGUGUGAGGAUCUGCAGAAAAGAAUGGCAGAACAUCCCCAAAUCCAGGGUAUUGAGUGUAGAUUGAUGAGCUCAAUAAGGAUUGGAACAACAUUGACGGGGGGAAACACCCAAAGUCCAUCACUCAUGCACCGAGGAUCUGGCUGAUUACUGGAAAUUUGGAAGAUUGUUCUUUAUCUGCACUGUCACUUCUGUUAUUAAGGAGCAGUGGGCUGCAGUGAUGCGCCCUGGAAGCAACUGGGGGUUCAGUGCCUUGCUCAAGGACACUUCGACUUGCAACUAAUGGGGAGAGCGGGGAUCGAACCGACAACCUUGGGGUUGCAGGACGGCCCUCUUACCCCACUGAGCUACAGCCGCCCACAAUUAUGGACCUUUUGCGGUAUGUUUUGCUUUCACUUAUCAACUGAUGGUGAAUAAUUGGUUGAUUUUGAAAAUGUACAUUCAAUAAAAUGUUUUAAAAUCAA